AGCAGCCGCGGUAAUUCCAGCUCCAAUAGCGUAUAUUAAAGUUGUUGCAGUUAAAAAGCUCGUAGUUGAAUUUCGGGAUUGACGUGACGGUCGUGCCUUAAGGGGUAUGAACUGUCGCCGUUGAUUUCUCACCUUCUGGAGAAGCUCGAUGUCCUUAAUUGGAUGUCUUGUGGAACCAGGACCUUUACCUUGAAAAAAUUAGAGUGUUUAAAGCAGGCAUUUUGCUCGAAUACAUUAGCAUGGAAUAAUAGAAUAGGACGGCGUGGUUCUAUUUUGUUGGUUUCUAGGAUCACCGUAAUGAUUAAUAGGGAUAGUUGGGGGCAUUAGUAUUCAAUUGUCAGAGGUGAAAUUCUUGGAUUUAUUGAAGACUAACUACUGCGAAAGCAUUUGCCAAGGAUGUUUUCAUUAAUCAAGAACGAAAGUUAGGGGAUCGAAGACGAUCAGAUACCGUCGUAGUCUUAACCAUAAACUAUGCCGACUAGGGAUCGGAUGAUGUUAAUUUUUUAAUGACUC
Molecule: ribosomal RNA, 513 nt
Filed under: uncultured Glomeromycotina
Lineage: Eukaryota; Fungi; Glomeromycota
Description: SSU rRNA
Rfam family: Eukaryotic small subunit ribosomal RNA
Source: RNAcentral